UAGAGUUCUCACUUUUCUCUAAUUAAAAAAAUUAAAAACAACACUAUAGUAAGACACUUCAUUGUCAGUGCUAGGUCCCUUCUCAUGGGAUCGAAUAGCAGAGUCCUGGCUACGGGUUCAAAUGCCCUGCUGAAAUCCUCAGACAAUUCCAACAUCCACAAAGCUACGAAAGGAGCAAUGCCUCUGAGAACCUUGGAAAGGGGAAAGGGAGCAAUGUCAUCUGCACUCAGUCAUGGAGGAAACAGCUGGACAAGUCAGCACAGGGAGGUGGUGACCGGCAGAGGAGACUUGGAGUUCUUCAGGUACCUGGAGAUCACUGAAUACUGGCCUUCCAGACCCCUUUAUACCAGGUUCGCUAUCCUGAGGGAAAUGGCCUGCCUGAAAGGGACUAAAUGAGUUUGGCCUUCAUAGCCCAGAGAGGCACAGCAGAAAGUGUAGCAGGAGAUCAGUGUCUUUUGCUGUUUGCUGUCUCUCCAUUCUCAAUCUCUGAAAUGCCUUUCUUUAAAAAGCAAAAUAAAAUGAACUAUCUUUAUUGGCUUGGAGUUUUCUAAUGACAGAAAAGAGAAGUAGGAGACCAGAUUGACAAUUGAGGUCAGAGAACCAUCCGUGGGUAGACGCGGCACUGUGAGGCGACGUCAGGGAUCUACUGAUUAGCCGGUCUGGCUGCUGCUCUCCAUCCACACAGGGCAUCUGGCCACCCAUUCCUGCUGAUUAAGGGGCAGUGCUCUGGCAGCUUCUGACAGGUAACUUUGUUGUUUUGUUAUAAGGAGCUUUAUUUCCUCAGGAUGAA
RNAcentral lists this long non-coding RNA (790 nucleotides) under Macaca nemestrina (pig-tailed macaque). RNAcentral describes it as "lncRNA (ENSMNEG00000045704.1)". The record is from RNAcentral. Lineage: Eukaryota; Metazoa; Chordata; Mammalia; Primates; Cercopithecidae.